GAUGAACGCUAGCGGCAUGCUUUACACAUGCAAGUCGAACGAUCCUUGUUGUUAACGGAUAUGAGAGCUUGCUCAAAUUGAAGAUUACAACGCUGGAUAGUGGCAAACGGGUGAGUAACGCGUAGGAACUUUCUCUAAGUGGGGGAUAGCUAGUCGAAAGAUUAGGUAAUACCCCAUGUGACCGCAAGGUUAAAGGAGCAAUUCGCUUAGAGUGAGGCCUGCGUCCCAUCAGCUAGUUGGUAAGGUAAUUGCUUACCAAGGCUAAGACGGGUAGCUGGUCUGAGAGGAUGAUCAGCCACACUGGGACUGCGACACGGCCCAGACACCUACGGGUGGCAGCAGUGGGGAAUUUUCGGCAAUGGGCGAAAGCCUGACCGAGCAAUGCCGCGUGCAGGAUGAAGGCCCUAUGGGUUGUAAACUGCUGUGGAGUCUAUCUAAAUAAAUGAAGAAAACUCUAGAAAGAGGUUGCUAACUCUG
This 477-nucleotide ribosomal RNA is filed under the name uncultured bacterium. Its description in RNAcentral is "bacterial SSU rRNA". It matches the Rfam family "Bacterial small subunit ribosomal RNA", at positions 28 to 505 of the family's 1533-position model. The record is from RNAcentral.